Molecule: long non-coding RNA, 8760 nt
Organism: Oncorhynchus keta (chum salmon)
Lineage: Eukaryota; Metazoa; Chordata; Actinopteri; Salmoniformes; Salmonidae
Exons: 3
Source: RefSeq, a predicted model, not a curated record
AAAACAAAUGAUAGUCAGUCCCACUAAGCGCAAACCAGAUGGGAUGGCGUAUCGCUGCAGAAUGCUGUGGUUGCCAUUCUGGUUAAGUGUGCCUUGAAUUCUAAAUAAAUCACUGAGAGUGUCACCAGCAAAGCACCCCCACACCAUUACAACUCCUCCUCCAAGCUUCACGGUGGGAACCACACAUGGAGAGAUCAUCCGUUCACCCACUCUGCGUUUCACAAAGACACAGCGGUUGGAACCAAAAGUCUCAAAUUUGGACUCAUCAGACCAAAGGACAGACCAAGGACAUCAGACCAGACCACCGGUCUAAUGUCCAUUGCUCGUGUUUCUUUGCCCAAGCAAGUCUCUUCUUCUUCUUGGUGUCCUUUAGUAGUGGUUUCUUUGCAUCAAUUCGACCAUGAAGGCCUGAUUCACGUAGUCUCCUCUGAACAGUUGAUGUUGAGAUGUGUCUGUUACUUGAACUCUGUGAAGCAUUUAUUUGGGCUGCAAUUUCUGAGGCUGGAAACUCUAAUGAACGUAUCCUCUGCAGCAGAGAUAACCCUGGGUCUUUCUUUCCUGUGGCGGUUUUCAUAAGAGGCAGUUUCAUCAUAAUGCUUGAUGGUUUUUGCGACUGCACUUGAAGAAACUUUCAAAGUUCUUGAAAUGUUCCAUAUUGAUUUAGGUAAAAACAUUAACGUUACAUGUCUAAACAAAAGACCAAGUUAAAAUGUGCUGUUAGCUAGCUAACAUUAGCGGAGGUUAGAUGGCUGGCUUGCUAACGUUACUCUAUGGAUUGUGAUUUUAGUUUAAAAAAAACAUUGCUUGCUAACGUUAACAUUACAUCUCUAAACAAAAGAUCCCAAGUUAAAGCUGGCUGGUUACACCUAAAGCACGAGGACUUGCUGCGAGUGGUGAACUUCAUCAACAACUACGCAGAGGAUAGUGGAAUAGUAUUACCAGGACGCCACCCAGGACACAAACGCUUUGCUGGAAAGCUGCUGCCAUCCCAUGUGACAAAAGCAGCAGUGUGGAGUCUCUACAAGGAAUCGAUGACAACACUUGAGGUACGUGUAGUCGGGCGGUCGUCCUUCAGGAAUCUAUGGAGAAAAUUGCUGCCCCACAUCUCAAGCACGAAGCUGAGGACAGACCUGUGCUGGCAGUGCUAGAGGAACAACUCUCAGGUUUUCAGAUCUGCUAAUCUGCCAGAAGCUGUUAAGUCAGCCAAGCUGAAGAAGCAAGAGCAGCAUCUCCUGCCUGUUCAGAGUGAGCGGUCUGUCUACAAGACGAUGGUUGCUGACUGCAAGACCACCUGUCAAGACCUGUAGUUGUCUCUGUGGGCCCCUACCGAACCAGCAAGCAAAGACAUCAGGAUGCAUUACAGCUUUGAUUUUGCUUAACAACUGCACUACCCUUCUGAACCUAUGCAGCCAGGUCCAAUCUACAUUUUAACGCCUCGCAAGUGUUGCUUGUUUGGUGUCUGCUGUGAAGGAAUACCACAACAAGUCAACUACUUGAUUGAAGAAGGCAGCAGCGCAGUCAUCAACUACAUGCACCAUUUCUUCACCAACUACGGAGUUGGGGAAACACAUGUGGACCUGAAUUAUGAUAACUGCAGUGGCCAAAACAAGAACAAUGUUGUGCUCUGGUAUUGUGCCUGGAGGACCAUGCACAGGCUCCACCACAGUCUGGAUCAUCUCUACCUGCAGUGCCUCUAGUCAAAUGACUCCCUCCUACGUUGCGGCUACAAUUUUUUUUAUUCUGCUGCUCAGCCACUUUACCCCUGAUUGUAUGUAUAUAAUGACCUCAUCUAUCACUGAUAUCGUGAUUAAUAUUGUUCAUACUGUAUAUUUUAUUUAUAUUGACACCAUCUAUUUAUGAUAUUGCUACAAUGCAAGUAUUUGCAACCAUUUACAGCCGACUGGAGCAUACAGGUCGCAGUGGUGGGUGGUAUAAGGUGAUUUGGUAACAAAACGUGAGUCUGUGAUAGACUGCAUCCAGUUUGCGGAGUAGAGUGUUGGAAGCAAUUUUGUGGAUGACAUGAGGAUAGUCAGUUUUACUAGGGUAAGUUUGGCAGCGUACUUACAGUUCCAUCUGUUUAAUAAAUAUGCAACUCAUCAAAAACAAUACAGGAGAAAACUAAACGUAACAUUCUGGGCUAUUCACAGCCAGCUACACAAAAACAAGAUCCCACAAACGACAGGUGUGAAAAGACUGCCUAAAUAUGAUCCCCAAUCAGAGACAACGAUAGACAGCUGCUUCUGAUUGGAAACCAUACCAGGCCAAAAAAAGAAAUAUAAAACAUAGAUUGCCCACCCUAGUCACACCGUGACCUAACCAAAUAGUGAAUUAAAAUGAUCUCUAAGGUCAGGGCGUGACACCUCCAUUCUCUAUUGAAAAGCAUAGAUGACAUGUACUUUUCCCGCUGCCCCUGUUUCGAGACACACAUGUUAUUUAGUAUAUGUAAAGACAAUAUUAAUUCAAGAAUAGCCUGAUGGGUGACAAUAUUAGCCUAUCACUUGUGAAUUAUAUAUUAUCACUUAUGAAUGAUGCCCAGCAUAAGGAGAGAAACAAUGCCUUUUCAUAUUCGCACACCUCAUGUAGCCUAGCCAAUAGGCCUAUAUGUUUUGAUAAGGUUUGUAUCACAACUAAAGUGGACAAAUAACUUCUCAAAAUGAAGCACAUUAAUCCGCUUUAAACUGGGUGUAGAAUGGCCUCCCGAGUGGCGCAGUGCUAACCCGUGCCACUAGAGAUACUGGUUCGAGUCCAGGCUCGGUCGCAGCCGAUCGCAACUGGGAGACCCAUGGGGCGGCGCACAAUUGGCCCAGUGUCAUCCGGGUUAGGGGAGGAUAGGGCCAGCAGGAAUGUUCUUGUCCCAUCGCUCACUAGUGACUCCUGUGGUGGGCCGGGCGCAGUGCACCAAGACAAUAGAAUAGAAUAGAUUCCAAGACAAUGGUGUAGCUGGCUUCCGGGUUAAGCGGGCAUUGUGUCAAAAAGCAGUGUUGCUUGGCUUGGUUGUGUUUCUUCGCCUCUCCCGAGUCUGUACGGGAAUUACCAGGGAUGGGACAAGACUGUAACUAUCAAUUGGAUACCAUGAAAUGGGGGAUAAAAAGGGGUAAAAAAAUAUAACAAAAAUGUGAAAUGUAUAAAUUAAAUCAAAGGGUGUAGAGCCUAACUGGCAUACAUAAGCAGCGCAUGAGUUUCAAGUUCAUAAUAAAAGCAUUUCAUGCAUGAUCACAUUUUCUGUCACUUUUGAUAAUGGUGUUUUCCCUAUAGCCUACUGUCAUAUGCACAUUGGUGAGCUUAUAAUGUGAAGAAAUAGCUGAAUAGUUUAUCAACAUUUUAAGCUAAACAUAGUGAUCUGAUGUGUCAGCCACAUUGUGAAAAAUAUUUUUUGAUGCCAGUGGUUGGAUUAAUUUGUGAUCUAUCGUAUCUCCAACUGUGGAAGAAUAUGUUUGGAAUAUAAAUUUCUCGGACAGAAUAGAAUAGUACUAUGGGGGAUAGUAGAUGGACAUGGGCUAGUGCUUUUGAUGUUUGUUAAGCCUACUCACCUUGUUGGCUGACAAAAUUUAAUGUGGACAGUUCUUCCAAUAUAUUCAAUAUGCACCUCGGAAUUGGAUAAGGACACGUGCAGUUGCGUCCCGAUGUGUCUGUUUUCAUUUGUAGCCUGUGAGAAAGACCCGAUCAGGUGAUGGAGAGCCAUGUGAGUGAGAUGUGUUUCAGAGCACGCAGCACUCAGGGAGAAGAGCACAACGCAGCACUCCGGGCCAAGGGCACAAAUGCCACUGGGCGCAAAAGGCCUGGAUUUUUUAGGGUGCAUUACGGUCACACAAAGGGGAUGCCGCCGUGAAAUUUGAGGCAUUAUCAAGUGCUUGUCAAAUUGUGAAUGUGAGACUGAUGAAGUGUGUACAGCCUGCACAGCUCAUGACUUUCAAGCAACUUUAUUCAAAUCAUCAUUAGUCUCAUCAUGCAGCCUUGUAUUAAAAAGCCAAACAUAUAGAACAAAUAAAGUUACAUUAAUAACUCUAAAUUAUGCAGAAAAAUCUAUCAAGUUCCUUGGCGUACACAUCACUGACAAACUGAAAUGGUCCACCCACACAGACAGUGUGGAGAAGAAGUCGCAACAACGCCUCUUCAACUUCAUGAGGCUGAAGAAAUUUGGCUUGGCACCUAAAACCCUCACAAACUUUACAGAUGCACAAUUGAGAGCAUCCUGUCGGGCUGUAUCACCACCUGGUAUGGCAACUGCAACGCCCACAACCGCAGUUGUGGGGGUAAACUACCUGCCCUACAGGACACCUACAGCACCCGAUGUCAAAAAGAUCAUCAAGGACAACAACCACCCAAGCCACUGCCUGUUCACCACGCUAUCAUCCAGAAGAUGAGGUCAGUACAGGUGCAUCAAAGCUGGGACCGAGAGACUGAAAAACAGCUUCUAUCGCAAGGCCAUCAGCUAGCCAUCACUAGCACAUUACAGGAUGCAUAUAUACAUUGAUUUCAAAUCCAUGGCCACUUUAAUAAAUGGAACACUAGUCACUUUAACACUUGAAUAAUGUUUACAUAUUUUGCAUUACUCAUCUCAUAUGUAUAUACUGUAUUCUAUUCUAGUCUACUGUAUCUUAGUCUAUGCCGCUCUGAGAUCGUCACAGAGCCCUUGGUACUGUUGCUCAUUCCGUGCACCAGUUUCGGAGGUCUACAUCACCGGUCUCUAGGCACUGAACUGUGCCAUUACGCACACACCUGGUCCCCAUUUCCUCACUGAUUUAUAUUUGUAUAAAUGUGCCUUUGGUUCACCAUUGGGCUGUUGAUUAUUGUUCCCAUGUCCGUUGGUCAUGUGAGUACAUGUGCCUUGUUGUUUAGGCUUUCGUGUCGCUUGUAGUGUGCAGAUGAUUACGGGUCUCGUCCCGUAUUGUAUCAUUGUAUGCUUGUGUUUUCAGGUCUCGUCCCGUGUAUUUUUUCGAGGUACUCCUCACUCUUUUGUUUGGGUCUCAACCCUGUGUUUUGUAUACGUGUUUGUUUGGUCUUUGUCCCGUGCCUUAACUUCUUGCAUCGAGCAAUCCCGUAUCCGGAAGCGUAAUCAUAGCCUCAAGCUCAUUAGCAUAACGCAACGUUAACUAUUCAUGAAAAUCGCAAAUGAAAUGAAAUAAAUAUAUUGGCUCACAAGCUUAGCCUUUUGUUAACAACAAUGUAAUCUCAGAUUUUCUAAAUAUGCUUUUCAACCAUAGCUACACAAGCAUUUGUGUAAGAGUAUUGAUAGCUAGCAUAGCAUUAAGGCUAGCAUUCAGCAGGCAACAUUUUCACAAAAACAAGAAAAGCAUUCAAAUAAAAUAAUUUACCUUUGAAGAACUUUGGAUAUUUUCAAUGAGGAGACUCUCAGUUAGAUAGCAAAUGUUCAGUUUUUCCAAAAAUAUUAUUUGUGUAGGAGAAAUCGUUCUGUUUUGUUCAUCACGUUUGGCUAAGAAAAAAACCAGAAAAUUCAGUCAUUACAACGCCAAACUUUUUUCCAAAUUAACUCCAUAAUAUCGAUAGAAAAAUGGCAAACGUUGUUUAGAAUCAAUCCUCAAGGUGUUUUUCACAUAUCUAUUCGAUGAUAAGUCAUUCAUGGCAGUUGGGUUUCUCCUCUGAAGCAAAUGGAAAAAUGCACGCAGCUGGAGAUUACGCAAUAAUUGCAACGGAGGACACCAAGCGAGCACCUGGUAAAUGUAGUCUCUUAUGGUCAAUCUUCCAAUGAUAUGCCUACAAAUACGUCACAAUGCUGCAGACACCUUGGGGAAACUACAGAAAGUGUAUGAUGCAUUCCUUGCGCAUUCACAGCCAUAUAAGGAGACAUUGGAACACAGCGCCUUCAAAAUCUGGGGCAUUUCCUGUUUGAAAUUUCAUCUUGGUUUCGCCUGUAGCAUCAGUUCUGUGGCACUCACAGAUAAUAUCUUUGCAGUUUUGGAAACGUCAGAGUGUUUUCUUUCCAAAGCUGUCAAUUAUAUGCAUAGUCGCGCAUCUUUUCGUGACAAAAUAUCUUGUUUAAAACGGGAACGUUUUUUUAUCCAAAAAUUAAAAGAGCGCCCCCUAUAUCGAAGAAGUUAACAGGGCAUGCUGUAAUUUGGGUAGUAAUAGAACAAACUGUUACAUAUUCCUGCAUCUGUCUCCCGAUCCUUUAUAUGAACGGGACAGACAUUUCUCAUCCAAAUAUUUAUAUAUUCUUAAUUCCAUUCCUUUACUUUAGAUGUGUGUAUUGCUGUGAAAUUGUUAGAUAUUUCUGCACUGUUGGAGCUAGAAUCGCAAGCAUUUUGCUACACCCACAAUAACAUCUGGUAAACACGUGCAUAUGAUUUGAUUUUGAUUUGAUAUAGGUGUACAUAUUUCUUUGUUAACCUUUCAACACAGAAUAGACACCUGUGCGCACUCCCUAAAAUCGUUGAGGGGAAUCUGGUUGAUCCUGAGAGUGGUUCCUAAGUGCAGAUCUGGCCUUGGGAAAUCCAUAGCAGUUGUGCGUGUUUGAAAUGUAAUUAGCGAAUGCUGGAGUUUUCUUUGGGCCAUACAUAAUUAAUGUGGUUGUAAUUGUUCCAGGAUCAUCUGUUACAACCCUGACCAAGAAAAAAGGUCCACGAUCAGCACGUGCGGAGCAUACUCCUUUUGGGGGAGAAAACCAUUCUGGUUAGGGAGAUGGCCCAGCACUGUUCCUCUCUGAACAGAUUUGCGUUGGUCCUUAGGACCCAGAUUUCAAGUGAUGGCAGGUUCCUCUCAUACCCACCAUUUUUCAGCUAGUUUGAUUUCACACAAAUCCCGAUAUUGUUCUGUCAAUUCCCACCAAGUUAAUGUAUUUAUUUGAUCAGUCUUGUGAUUUUGUAUCUGUAUGUUAAUAAUUUGAUGUCUUUCUUUCGUACCUAUACUACAGGACAUUCUGCAGAAGGACACACAGGUCUACUGAGACUCGCAGAAAUUUGGGGGAGGCUUAAGUUACUCAGGCAAAUGUCCAAGACUGCUUUGGGUCUGAACUCCUCUUUUCUUUUAGAUGGGGAUGAGGAGGAACAGAAGGGAUAUGACUACAUUAGCAGUGGUGAUGAUGAAGAGGAGGCAGAAGAGGGAGCAACCUAGGUACUACAGUACUUUGUAAUUAUACUGAUGUUGUUUUGUUGCCUUGAACUUUUAUGAGUUACCAUAGUUUUUACAUUGUUAUUUGUUUUUGUGUGUAGUUGUGUGUAGUUGACAUUUCAAAUAACUGUAUUUUACAUGUACAUACAUCCAUUACAGAUGGAUUACUAUGGCUUCAAUACAUUUUAUUAGGCUUUUUGUUUUUUGUUUUUCUUACUAUGUAAUAGACAAGUGCAGUUCAGGUUCCCUUCCUGAGAGCAGGAAGAGUUGCUUCAGAAGACAGCUGUCAUACCAUCUACCUUCACCAAAAGCCCACUCCAUGCAGCUGUGAAUCUGUCCCCCACAAUACCACCCUUUCAUUUAAGGGGGACUCAUUUAAUUAAAUUCUCUGUACCUCUCAGCCCCAGACACUUAUUUUUGGCUACAGAGGAAGGAUGGUCCUGGGAAAAUGUAAGCCCUCUUAAAUUCUUAAACAACACUUUAGAUGUAAGGACUGAAAGUCCAUGACUUCCACACAAUGUUAAACAUAUGAUUGAGCUUUCUUUGGUGUUUAUAAAUAAUGGCGUAAUAAAACCUAAGGAGGGAAUACGGUGGUCAACAAUUGAAGAGUUUAUUUCCAUCAGAAAUAUUAUGCUCCUUUAUGUGUUUGUAAAAUAUAACUCAUUCCUAGAUUUUAUACUGGUUUAGUUGCAAAACACCUUAUAUCCAUUGUUUAGUUGGAAUAUGUUUGUGUCCCAUAUAUUAACAUACAAAUUCAAAUCAUCAUAAAUCUGGCUUCAUGCGAUAGUGUUUGGUUAGAGUUAGGUCUCAUCCCAAAUGGCACCCUAUUCCCAAGUGCACUACUUUUGACCAGACCCUAUAUCUCAUAUUAUUGUACUGUCAUAUUAUUCUAUUGAUAAAUGUUUGAAUAUAUUUAUUUUUAAAUAUUCAUGCCACAAAUAUAUUAUUUGUACAGUUCUUUGUUUGUCACAUUUGACUGUGUAAAACCUACUUUUUUCUCUGAGAGUGAGGCAGACAUAUGUAAUUGUACUUACCUCAUGACAUUUUUCAUUUAUAUUCUUGUAGAGUCAUUGUGUACACACUGAGUGUACAAAACAUCAAGAACACCUGCUCUUUCCAUGACAGACUGACCAGGUUAAAGCUAUGAUGUCACUUGUUAAAGGGGAGGAUUUUUAAGCCUUGAGACAUGGAUUGUGUAUGUGUGCCAUUCGGAGGGUGAAUGGGCAAGACAAAAUAUUUAAGUGGACUAUCUGCCAUUACUACCACCAUUACUACUGUAGUCGCCACCACUACAGCAAAUUGGCCAAACGUCAUCCCACUGCAAAGAAAAAAACAUAAAUUAAUCAAAUGUAUAAGCUGAGAUACAAUGGGGAAGGUGCAUAGAUGGCAGAAUCCCAAAAUGUUAUUGUUAACACUAUCCACACUGAGUUUUUAAACUACGGCGAGCGAUAUGGUUCAAUAUACCAAUGAAUCAGCACAAUAUAUUAUUUCAUUUUUUGCCUGUGUCUUGAAGCUAAAAUUGGCCUCAUGUAUACCCUGCUAAUGAUCAUACAAAAAAACAGUAACGGAGAGCAAUGUACCAUAUGGAGAAAUUGGCAAAACGAGGAAUUUGUGGUAAGUGUAUGGGGUCCGUCACCUUUAUGUACCACUGCUAUUGGGAAAUCAUGGGUACGACCCUGUGUUUUGUGAAAU